This 292-nucleotide ribosomal RNA is filed under the name uncultured eukaryote. Its description in RNAcentral is "partial 18S ribosomal RNA". It matches the Rfam family "Eukaryotic small subunit ribosomal RNA", at positions 6 to 291 of the family's 1831-position model. The record is from RNAcentral.
GGUUGAUCCUGCCAGUAGUCAUAUGCUUGUCUCAAAGAUUAAGCCAUGCAUGUCUAAGUAUAAGUGACACUUAAACAUCGAAACUGCGAAUGGCUCAUUAAAUCAGUUAAAAUCUACAGUGUGGUACAAAUUACUACAUGGAUAACCGUGGUAAUUCUAGAGCUAAUACAUGCACUCAAUCCCGACUUCUGGAAGGGAUGUAUUUAUUAGAUAAAAAACCAACCCGGGUUUUGCCCGGAGGAUUUGGUGAUUCAUAAUAACUGUACGAAUCGUAUGGCUUUACGCCGACGAU